GAAAGCUUAUACUUGACUUUGGAAAUGCCCGAUCCCAUCGGAUCAUCAAAUUUGAGCAACGUUGGACUUGAUUAGCGCUUGAAUGGGUGACCGGCUGGGAGUGCCGAGUGUUGCGUGAU
This is a non-coding RNA of Schistosoma haematobium, 119 nucleotides long. Lineage: Eukaryota; Metazoa; Platyhelminthes; Trematoda; Strigeidida; Schistosomatidae. The record is from Rfam.